AGUCGAACGGACAGUAGCAAUACUGUUAGUGGCGAACGGUCGCGUAACACGUAGGCAACCUGCCCGAAAGUGGGGGACAACAGCCUGAAAGGGCUGCUAAUACCGCAUGUGGCCGCUUGGUGGCAUCACCGAGUGUCUAAAGCUUAAUGCGCUUUCGGAUGGGCUUGCGGCCUAUCAGGCAGUUGGUGGGGUAAUGGCCUACCAAGCCGACGACGGGUAGCUGGUCUGAGAGGACGAUCAGCCGGAUUGGGACUGAGAUACGGCCCAGACUCCUACGGGGGGCAGCAAUUAGGAAUCUUGCGCAAUGGGGGCAACCCUGACGCAGCGACGCCGCGUGCGGGAUGAGGGCAUUCGUGUCGUAAACCGCUUUUUACGGGGAAGAAGAAUUUGACGGU
RNAcentral lists this ribosomal RNA (395 nucleotides) under uncultured bacterium. RNAcentral describes it as "bacterial SSU rRNA". It matches the Rfam family "Bacterial small subunit ribosomal RNA", at positions 60 to 476 of the family's 1533-position model. The record is from RNAcentral.